AGCAGCCGCGGUAAUUCCAGCUCCAAUAGCGUAUAUUAAAGUUGUUGCAGUUAAAAAGCUCGUAGUUGAAUUUCGGGACCAGUAUGUCGGUCGUGCUUCGGUACGUACUUGCAUUAUUGGUUUCUCCCUUCUGAAGAACCAUGAUGUCAUUAAUUUGGUGUCAUGGGAAAUCAGGACUGUUACUUACGAAAAAAUUAGAGUGUUUAAAGCAGGCUCGCGCUUGAAUACAUUAGCAUGGAAUAAUGAAAUAGGACGUUUGAUUCUAUUUUGUUGGUUUCUAGGAUCGACGUAAUGAUUAAUAGGGAUAGGUUGGGGGCAUUAGUAUUCAAUUGUCAGAGGUGAAAUUCUCGGGUUUAUUGAAGACUAACUACUGCGAAAGCAUUUGCCAAGGAUGUUUUCAUUAAUCAAGAACGAAAGUUAGGGGAUCGAAGACGAUCAGAUACCGUCGUAGUCUUAACCAUAAACUAUGCCGACUAGGGAUCGGAUGAUGUUUAAUUUUUUAUGACUCAUUCGGCGCCUU
This 520-nucleotide ribosomal RNA is filed under the name uncultured Glomus. Its description in RNAcentral is "SSU rRNA". It matches the Rfam family "Eukaryotic small subunit ribosomal RNA", at positions 569 to 1089 of the family's 1831-position model. Lineage: Eukaryota; Fungi; Glomeromycota; Glomeromycetes; Glomerales; Glomeraceae. The record is from RNAcentral.